AUUCUUCUGUAGUUUAUAAGCCUGAUGAUUGGGUUUUCAUGUGCAUGUGUGAGAUGUGCCUCCCUCAAACCUUGUUACGACGUUGGCACAUUACCCAUCUGAUG
Small nucleolar RNA from Pongo abelii (Sumatran orangutan), 104 nucleotides. Lineage: Eukaryota; Metazoa; Chordata; Mammalia; Primates; Hominidae. The record is from Ensembl.